This 352-nucleotide ribosomal RNA is filed under the name uncultured bacterium. Its description in RNAcentral is "bacterial SSU rRNA". It matches the Rfam family "Bacterial small subunit ribosomal RNA", at positions 917 to 1269 of the family's 1533-position model. The record is from RNAcentral.
GGGCCCGCACAAGCGGUGGAGUAUGUGGUUUAAUUCGAUGCAACGCGAAGAACCUUACCAGGGUUUGACAUCCUGCGAAUCUCUUGGAAACGAGAGAGUGCCUUCGGGAACGCAGUGACAGGUGGUGCAUGGCUGUCGUCAGCUCGUGUCGUGAGAUGUUGGGUUAAGUCCCGCAACGAGCGCAACCCACGUCUUUAGUUGCCAGCAUUUAGUUGGGCACUCUAGAGAGACUGCCGGUGAUAAACCGUGAGGAAGGUGGGGAUGACGUCAAAUCAUCACGGCCCUUACGUCCUGGGCUACACACGUGCUACAAUGGCCGGUACAGAGAGCAGCCACUUCGCAAGAAGGAGCG